UGGGGAAUAUUGGACAAUGGGGGGAACCCUGAUCCAGCCAUGCCGCGUGUGUGAAGAAGGCCUUAUGGUUGUAAAGCACUUUAAGCGAGGAGGAGGGUACUGGUAUUAAUACUACCAGCUACUGGACGUUACUCGCAGAAUAAGCACCGGCUAACUCUGUGCCAGCAGCCGCGGUAAUACAGAGGGUGCGAGCGUUAAUCGGAUUUACUGGGCGUAACGCGUGCGUAGGCGGCUAAUUGAGUCGGAUGUGAAAUCCCCGAGCUUAACUUGGGAAGUGCAUUCGAUACUGGUUAGCUAGAGUGUGGGAGAGGAUGGUAGAAUUCCAGGUGUAGCGGAGAAAUGCGUAGAGAUCUGGAGGAAUACCGAUGGCGAAGGCAGCCAUCUGGCCUAACACUGACGCUGAGGUACGAAAGCAUGGGGGGCAAACAGG
RNAcentral lists this ribosomal RNA (430 nucleotides) under Pseudomonadota bacterium. Its description in RNAcentral is "Proteobacteria bacterium partial 16S ribosomal RNA". It matches the Rfam family "Bacterial small subunit ribosomal RNA", at positions 355 to 776 of the family's 1533-position model. The record is from RNAcentral. Lineage: Bacteria; Pseudomonadati; Pseudomonadota.